CCCCACGUAGCUUAAUGGUUUGAGCACUUGGCUGUAGAUGAAUUCCCCUUUUGACACUGCAAAGCAGAGGAUGAACAAAGGGCAGCUGAUCCCGAGAGGUUCCUGGUUCGAGUCCGGGCGUGGGGA
RNAcentral lists this transfer RNA (126 nucleotides) under bacterium. RNAcentral's name for it is "tRNA-OTHER". It matches the Rfam family "tRNA". Rfam says of the family: Transfer RNA (tRNA) molecules are approximately 80 nucleotides in length. Their secondary structure includes four short double-helical elements and three loops (D, anti-codon, and T loops). Further hydrogen bonds mediate the characteristic L-shaped molecular structure. tRNAs have two regions of fundamental functional importance: the anti-codon, which is responsible for specific mRNA codon recognition, and the 3' end, to which the tRNAs corresponding amino acid is attached (by aminoacyl-tRNA synthetases). tRNAs cope with the degeneracy of the genetic code in two manners: having more than one tRNA (with a specific anti-codon) for a particular amino acid; and 'wobble' base-pairing, i.e. permitting non-standard base-pairing at the 3rd anti-codon position. The record is from RNAcentral.